RNAcentral lists this transfer RNA (70 nucleotides) under Phrynosoma platyrhinos (Desert horned lizard). Its description in RNAcentral is "tRNA-OTHER". The record is from RNAcentral. Lineage: Eukaryota; Metazoa; Chordata; Lepidosauria; Squamata; Phrynosomatidae.
GCCAGUGUGGUAUAGUGGUUUGAGUAUUGGACUAUGACUGGAGACCAGGGUUCAAAUCCUAGCUCAGCCA